Molecule: long non-coding RNA, 1277 nt
Filed under: Lathyrus oleraceus (garden pea)
Lineage: Eukaryota; Viridiplantae; Streptophyta; Magnoliopsida; Fabales; Fabaceae
Description: Pisum sativum (pea) long non-coding RNA (PSAT_LNC019719)
Source: RNAcentral
AAGUGUUUAGGGUUUAGAGAGAUAGAGGAGUUCCUCUCUCAUCUGGUAAGAAAUCAUUAUAUUAUCAUAGUAAUUAAAUUUUUCUAAAAAGAAGAAACCGAUGUUAAGUGUGGGGUCUUUGAGUGAGAUAAAAAUUUAGUUUGAGUCUUGCUUACUUUGUCCUUAGAAUUAGAAUAAAAACUAAGGAACAUAAAAAUAAAAAUUUAUCAUUGGAUAACAUAAUAUUUUGACGUUUAAAAAGUUAAAUUUAAAUUUUUUAAUAGUCAUGUGUCUAUUUAGUUUUUAACUUGAAUUUAAGAGCGCAAAUUAGCCUUAGCCUUUAAAUUUUAUUGCAUUUAAUAUACAUGUUGACAAUUUCAAAGAUGGAUUCACUCAUUAUCACUUAAUGUUUCACAUUAAGUAGCUAAGUUUGAUUCAUCAAUAAAACACACUAAGUUCAUGCUGAUAUGUGUGGUCCAAAAAUAUGAUUGGUCUUUGGUUUUUUUAUCCCUUCCUGUUACGAAAAGUUAUUAAACUAAUAGAUAUUUAAUAAAAAAUUAUUGAAUUGUUAUGAGUGAUAAGUUUUUAAUUUGAGGUCUUUAAUAAAUAUACUAAAGAGAUAAGUACAACUCAUUGAUAUAUUUAAAAGACAUUUAAUUAUGAUUAAUCUUUAUGGAAGUGUUUUUUACCACUCGAUAAGCGCUAAUAAAUAUUUGAUUUUUGUAAGAAGAGAAAAAGCUUUAUAAAUAAUGAAGUGAUAAAACCUUUUCUUACAUGAAAGAGAAAAAUUAUGGCUCAAAUUAUGAAGUUUGUUUAUUUUAUAAUUAUCUUAUUUUUCCUAUUUCCUAGUUCAACAAAUGUUGAAGGUAAGUUAUUUUUAUCUUUUUAAAAUUUUCUCUUCACCUUAUAUACAAUAUUCCAUCCAAUUUUCUUUUUUUUUUUCUUUUCUAUUUACAGCAUGGAUGCGUAGAUGUUUUAAAGAUUCUGAUUGUCCCAAAGAUUGGUGUCGAAAACCUAAGAUCAUGAGGUGUGUAAGUCACUCCUUGUGUAAAUGUAUGGUUCAAGGAUAUCUUAAACCCAUAUGAUUCUAUAUUUUGAGCCAUACUCAAGAGAAUAUACAAUAAACACUCCAUACUUCUAUGCUCUAGUUCGAGCUUGGUGCCUGCAUCUCAGGUGGUGUUGAUGGUUGAUUUUUUUUUCUUUGUGGAUUUUGUGCAUCUCGUGUACCUGUUUUCAAUUUCAAUUAUAAGCAGAUUUUGUUUAUACUUAAAUUUUUCAUUAUAUAUAUAUAUAUAUAU